This 497-nucleotide ribosomal RNA is filed under the name uncultured bacterium. Its description in RNAcentral is "bacterial SSU rRNA". It matches the Rfam family "Bacterial small subunit ribosomal RNA", at positions 774 to 1268 of the family's 1533-position model. The record is from RNAcentral.
AGUAAAUAGAUACCCUGGUAGUCCACGCCGUAAACGAUGUCGACUUGGAGGUUGUGCCCUUGAGGCGUGGCUUCCGGAGCUAAACGCGUUAAGUCGACCGCCUGGGGAGUACGGCCGCAAGGUUAAAACUCAAAUGAAUUGACGGGGGCCCGCACAAGCGGUGGAGCAUGUGGUUUAAUUCGAUGCAACGCGAAGAACCUUACCUACUCUUGACAUCCAGAGAACUUUCCAGAGAUGGAUUGGUGCCUUCGGGAACUCUGAGACAGGUGCUGCAUGGCUGUCGUCAGCUCGUGUUGUGAAAUGUUGGGUUAAGUCCCGCAACGAGCGCAACCCUUAUCCUUUGUUGCCAGCGGUUAGGCCGGGAACUCAAAGGAGACUGCCAGUGAUAAACUGGAGGAAGGUGGGGAUGACGUCAAGUCAUCAUGGCCCUUACGAGUAGGGCUACACACGUGCUACAAUGGCGCAUACAAAAGAGAAGCGACCUCGCGAGAGCAAGC